AUGCCGAGCGCUGUUCUGGGAAUAAAGACUGCCCGUUACUGUGUGCAUGGUAUUCGCAAAGGAUACACCAAGGGGAAGGUGAAGGUCGGAGUUAACAGAUUUGGUCGUUUUGGGCGCCUGGUCACCAGGGCUGCUUUUAACUCUGGUAAAGUGGAUAUUGUCGCCAUCAAUGAUCCCUUCAUUGACCUCAACUACAUGGUCUACAUGUUCCAGUAUGAUUCCACCCAUGGCAAAUUCCAUGGCACUGUCAAGGCUGAGAACCGGAAGCUUGUCAUCAAUGGAAAUCCCAUCACCAUCUUCCAGGAGCGAGAUCCCUCCAAAAUCAAGUGGGGCGAUGCUGGCACUGAGUACAUGGUGGAGUCCACUGGCGUCUUCACCACCAUGGAGAAGGCUAGCGCUCACUUGCAGGGGGGAGCUAAAAGGGUCAUCAUUAUCUGCCCCCUCUGCUGAUGCCCCCAUGUUCAUGAUGGGCGUGAACUAUGAGAAGUAUGACAGGAGCCUCAAUAUCGUCAGCAAUGGCUCCUGCACCACCAACUGCUUAGCACCCCUGGCCAAGGUCAUCCAUGACAACUUUGGUAUCGUGGAAAGACUCAUGACCACUGUCCACACCAUCACUGCCACCCAGAAGACCGUGGAUGGACCCUCUGGGAAACUGUGGUGUGAUGGCCUUGGGGCUCUCCAGAACAUCACCCCUGCCUCUAUUGGUGCUGCCAAGGCCGUGGGCAAGGUCAUCCCUGAACUGAACAGGAAGCUCACUGGCAUGGCUUUCCGUGUCCCCACUGCCAACGUGUCAGUGGUGGACCUGACCUGCCAUCUGGAAAAACCUGCCAAAUAUGAUGACAUCCAGAAGGUGGUGAAGCAGGCAUCGGAGGGCCCCCUCAAGGGCAUCCUGGGCUACACUGAGCACCAGGUGGUGUCCUCUGACUUCAACAGCGACACUCAUUCUUCCACCUUCGAUGCUGGGGCUGGCAUUGCCCUCAACGACCACUUUGUCAAGCUCAUUUCCUGGUACGACAAUGAAUUUGGCUACAGCAACAGGGUAGUGGACCUCAUGUCCCACAUGUCCUCCAAGGAGUAAGACCCCUGGACCACCAGCCCCUGCAAGAGCA
Sapajus apella (tufted capuchin) is the source of this 1109-nucleotide RNA transcript. It is a transcript of the gene named glyceraldehyde-3-phosphate dehydrogenase pseudogene, with no coding region annotated. NCBI's taxonomy places the organism in Eukaryota, Metazoa, Chordata, Mammalia, Primates, Cebidae. The record is from RefSeq and is a predicted model, not a curated record. The transcript is spliced from 2 exons.